RNAcentral lists this ribosomal RNA (488 nucleotides) under uncultured bacterium. RNAcentral's name for it is "bacterial SSU rRNA". It matches the Rfam family "Bacterial small subunit ribosomal RNA", at positions 32 to 518 of the family's 1533-position model. The record is from RNAcentral.
AACGCUGGCGGCGUGCCUAAUACAUGCAAGUCGAACGGUCUUUCUAUGGAAGCUUGCUUCCACUGAGAAGAUAGUGGCGAACGGGUGAGUAACACGUGGGUAACCUGCCCAUAAGAGGGGGAUAACAUCCGGAAACGGGUGCUAAUACCGCAUAGUUUUCUUGAUCGCAUGAUCGGGAAAGGAAAGACGGCCUUUGUGCUGUCGCUUAUGGAUGGACCCGCGGCGUAUUAGUUAGUUGGUGAGGUAACGGCUCACCAAGACGAUGAUACGUAGCCGACCUGAGAGGGUGAUCGGCCACAUUGGGACUGAGACACGGCCCAAACUCCUACGGGAGGCAGCAGUAGGGAAUAUUGCACAAUGGGGGAAACCCUGAUGCCAGCAACGCCGCGUGAGUGAUGACGGCCUUCGGGUUGUAAAGCUCUGUCUUCAGGGACGAUAAUGACGGUACCUGAGGAGGAAGCCACGGCUAACUACGUGCCAGCCGCCGC